UACAGAGGGCUCAAGCGUUGUUCGGAAUCACUGGGCUUAAAGGGCGCGUAGGCGGUCCGACAAGUCAGGGGUGAAAUCCUGCAGCUUAACUGCAGAAGUGCCUUUGAUACUGUCGGUCUUGAGGGAGAUAGGGGUGUGCGGAACUCACAGUGGAGCGGUGAAAUGCGUUGAUAUUGUGAGGAACGCCGGAGGCGAAAGCGGCGCACUGGAUCUCUUCUGACGCUGAGGCGCGAAGGUCAGGGGAGCAAACGGG
Molecule: ribosomal RNA, 253 nt
Filed under: uncultured bacterium
Lineage: Bacteria
Description: partial 16S ribosomal RNA
Rfam family: Bacterial small subunit ribosomal RNA
Source: RNAcentral